RNAcentral lists this ribosomal RNA (848 nucleotides) under Staphylococcus aureus. RNAcentral describes it as "partial 23S ribosomal RNA". It matches the Rfam family "Bacterial large subunit ribosomal RNA", at positions 1353 to 2196 of the family's 2925-position model. The record is from RNAcentral. Lineage: Bacteria; Bacillati; Bacillota; Bacilli; Caryophanales; Staphylococcaceae.
UCCAGAGGAAGGCUCGUCCGCUCUGGGUUAGUCGGGUCCUAAGCUGAGGCCGACAGGCGUAGGCGAUGGAUAACAGGUUGAUAUUCCUGUACCACCUAUAAUCGUUUUAAUCGAUGGGGGGACGCAGUAGGAUAGGCGAAGCGUGCGAUUGGAUUGCACGUCUAAGCAGUAAGGCUGAGUAUUAGGCAAAUCCGGUACUCGUUAAGGCUGAGCUGUGAUGGGGAGAAGACAUUGUGUCUUCGAGUCGUUGAUUUCACACUGCCGAGAAAAGCCUCUAGAUAGAAAAUAGGUGCCCGUACCGCAAACCGACACAGGUAGUCAAGAUGAGAAUUCUAAGGUGAGCGAGCGAACUCUCGUUAAGGAACUCGGCAAAAUGACCCCGUAACUUCGGGAGAAGGGGUGCUCUUUAGGGUUAACGCCCAGAAGAGCCGCAGUGAAUAGGCCCAAGCGACUGUUUAUCAAAAACACAGGUCUCUGCUAAACCGUAAGGUGAUGUAUAGGGGCUGACGCCUGCCCGGUGCUGGAAGGUUAAGAGGAGUGGUUAGCUUCUGCGAAGCUACGAAUCGAAGCCCCAGUAAACGGCGGCCGUAACUAUAACGGUCCUAAGGUAGCGAAAUUCCUUGUCGGGUAAGUUCCGACCCGCACGAAAGGCGUAACGAUUUGGGCACUGUCUCAACGAGAGACUCGGUGAAAUCAUAGUACCUGUGAAGAUGCAGGUUACCCGCGACAGGACGGAAAGACCCCGUGGAGCUUUACUGUAGCCUGAUAUUGAAAUUCGGCACAGCUUGUACAGGAUAGGUAGGAGCCUUUGAAACGUGAGCGCUAGCUUACGUGGAGGCGCUGGUGGG